UAUCGACGUGGUGUAAUAUUCCAUCUCCCGAAAUUGUCACUUUUUCAUAUACUCGUGACUCAUGCGGGCCCCAUCAUUUUAUCCUGGGUCCAGAUUCAGACUCCUAUUCAUCUUUCCAAGUCUUCUCUUGUUUGCUUCUCUGCAAGUCCUCCACUAGCUCGCCGAAAGUGCUCGAGUGACUUCCUCGUCAAUAUCUAACGAUUUCCCUUCAGCGCGUUUCUGCAUCAUUUGUUAUUGGAAAAGAAACAUACUCAUGUCGGUCGGGAGUGGUUGAUCAUCUGGAAUAUCCGAACCUCUCAGAUUGACUUCCCUGCCAUACCCUCUCUCUCUUGCUACCAAGCCAUCAGAUCAAGGCUCCACUGCAGCUUCUCUAAAGAUCUCUUGCAUCGAUUCUGAGAUUGCAGGGAGUAUAUAUGGCGGCUUCUUCCUCUUCCACUGCUGUUAUCCCCCACCGAGGAAAGCACGACGUGUUUCUCAGUUUCCGAGGCGAGGACACCCGCGACGGUUUCACCAGUCAUCUUCAUGCUGCUUUACUCCGGAGUAAAAUCGAAACCUACAUAGAUAACAGACUCGAGAGAGGAGACGAAAUCGGUCCCGCACUUGUCAAAGCAAUUGAGGAAUCAGAGCUCUCGGUAAUCAUUUUCUCGGAGAAUUAUGCCUCUUCUACAUGGUGCUUGGAUGAGCUUGUGCAUAUACUCGAAUGCAAGAAGAAAUAUGGAUUCUCUGUUAUACCUGUUUUCUACCACGUAGAUCCAUCACAUGUGCGGAGACAGGAGGAGAGUUAUGCAGCUGCGUUUGCUCAACUUGAACAACGUUUCGAGGAUAAGGUGGAGAUGGUGCGCCGGUGGAGGGAUGCUUUGACAACUGCUGCAAAUCUAUCUGGGUUUGAUUCUCAAAAUAUAAGGCCUGAGUCCAAGUUAGUUGAGGAUAUUGUUAGAGCUAUUUUAGUGAAAUUGAAUCGUGGAUCAUCCAGUGUUUUGAAGGGCCUGGUAGGGAUGAAAAGCCGCGUUCAGGAAGUCGAAAGGUUGUUGAGUUUGGCCUCUCUAGAUGUCAGGACUGUAGGCAUAUGGGGUAUGGGUGGUGUAGGUAAGACCACCCUUGCUCGUGCUGUAUUUGACCAUCUCUCUUUGAAAUUUGAAGCUUGUUGCUUCAUUGGAGAUAUUAGAGAAGCAUCAGAGACUAGUCAUGGACUAAAUCAGUUGCAAAAGGAGCUUCUUCGUAUUUUAUUAGACCAAGAAAAUCUGAAUAUGGGCACUAUUUCUGUAAGUUCAACUCUUGAUAGAAGGAGGCUCCGCCGUAAGAAGGUCCUCAUUGUUCUUGAUGAUGUGAAUGAUCCAAGGCAACUAGAUGUUUUAGUUGGAGAUGAUGCUCAGUUUGGUCCUGGAAGUAGAAUCCUUAUAACAACUAGAUAUAUGCAACUACUUAAGACUGGGGGAGCAGAUAAGAUAUAUGAAGUUAAGCAAUUAAAUGAAGAUGAAGCCCUUCAGCUUUUUCGUUUAAAUGCUUUCCAAAAUAUGUGUCCUACAUCUGAAUAUACAGAAUUGUCAAGAAUGGUGGUAAGUUAUGCUGAAGGCAUUCCGCUGGCUCUUAAGGUUUUGGGUUCCCUAUUGCACUGCAAGAGAAAAAGAGAAUGGGAACGUGAAUUGAUUAAACUGGAAAAGAUUCCCAACAAAAGAAUUGCGGAUGUGUUGAGAGUAAGUUAUGAUGGAUUAGAUGCGGAACAGAAAGAGAUAUUUCUUGAGAUUGCAUGUUUUUAUAAAGGGGAGAAGAUAGAUUAUGCACAAAGAAUGUUGGAUACUUGCGGCUUCUGUGCUGAUGCGGGAAUUGAAGAUCUGAUUGACAUGUCUCUCAUAUCAAUCAAAAACAACUACCUGUGGAUGCAUGAAUUGAUACAAGAAAUGGGUCGUGCAAUUGUCCGUGAACCUAAGGAGCGUGGAAGACGCAGUAGGUUGUGGAUUGCUGAGGAUAUCUGUCAAGUAUUCAAAAAUAAUACAGGAACCGGAACAAUUGAAGCCAUAUUCCUUGAUAUGUCUAAGAUUACAAAGCUGCAUGUGAGAGGUGCAGCCUUCAAAGACAUGCAUAAUCUAAGAUUGCUCAAAAUAUAUAACUCUGGUGAUGAAUUUCCCGAGAAGCACUGCAAAAUAUACCUUCCCGAAGGCCUUUCGUCUCUUCCUGAUGCCCUUAGAUAUCUGUACUGGGACGGAUACCCUUUGAAAUCAUUGCCAUCAGAAUUUUCUCCGGGCAAUCUUGUUGAACUGCAUAUGCCCAAUAGCCAAGUUGAGCAACUUUGGACUGAAGACCAGAAUUUUGGGAAGUUGAGAAGGAUAUAUCUUAGUCAUUCCAAGAACCUAAUUAAAGUUCCGGAUCUCUCUCAGAGUCCGAUUGAGGAUAUAGAACUUCAGAACUGUACAAGUUUAGUUCAAGUCCCUACAUAUUUUGAAAAUCUUGACAAGCUUACCUCUCUGAAUCUUAGUGGCUGCUCAAGUCUUAAACAUCUUCCAGAUAUGCCAGUGAAUAUGACUACCUUAUCUUUACAUGGAACUGCAAUAGAAGAGUUGCCUGCAUCAAUUUGGUCCCACAAGAAGCUUGUAUCAUUAGACCUGACGUACUGUCGAGACCUUAAGAAUCUUCCGAGCAGCACUUGCAAUAUGGAUUCUCUCCAAAUUCUUGGUCUUUUUGGCUGCUCAACUCUUGGCAGAUUUUCAGAACUUCCCAGGAAUAUAAGACAUUUAUGUUUGACUGGGACAGCAAUUGAAGAAGUACCCUCAUCAAUCGGGUGUGUCUCUGGGCUCGUUUCAAUUCGACUGGAAAAUUGCAAAAAGUUUGUGACGCUGCCUACCAGCAUUUGUAAGUUGAAAUCUCUCGAGAGACUUUCUCUCUUUGGUUGCUGUAAAUUCAAGGACUUCCCAGAAAUCUUGGAGCCUAUGGAGCGUCUGGAGUUUUUAAAUCUAAGUAAAACAGCGAUUCAAGAGCUACCCAUGUCGACUGAAAAUCUAGUCGGGCUAAAAAAGUUGGAGCUGUUUAACUGCAAAAACCUCCGGUUUGUCCCUGGCAGUAUCUACAAAUUAAAAACUGUGGUCCUCGAUGGUUGUUGGAAACUCAGAUUUUUUAAGUUGGAGCGAAAGAACUUACGUCUGGAUUGGCUCUUGAACUUAGGUCGUCUGGAGUAUCUAAGUCGUCUGGAUUGGACCUUGAACUUAGGUCGUCUGCAUCGAAGUUUUGCUCUUGAACUUACAUUGAAGUUUCUCCCCUCUCUUGAACUUCAAGAAGUUACGUCGUUGUCGUCCAGUACAUCAAAGUCUCUCUCCUUCAAGAAGUUACGUCAUCCGUCGUCGUGUUGGAAGUCUCUGUUACGUCAUCCGUCGUCGUGUUGGAAGUCUCUCUCCUCUCUUAAACUUCAAGAAGAAGUAUUUCAAGAAGCCUGCAAGAAGUUAAAUCUUAAACUUCAAGAAGAAUUUCAAGAAGCCUGCAAGAAGUUACAUCUUAAACUUCAAGAAGUUAAAGCAUCGAAGGAAGUUCAAGAAGCACUUGAACGUCUUCAGAAGUUUCAACGUAGACUUGAAGUUGAACUUAAAGACGCACUUGAAGCCUCCCAGAAGUUUCAUCGUAGACUUGAAGCCUCCCAGAAGUUGUAGAUUGUUAAUAUGAGAUUCACAUCUAAAACCAAUUGACAAUAGAUGGAGUGACCCAAACCCUUAUAAACUCAUAGGCAAUGUCUCAUUUCUCCCAUGUGGGAUAUAUAUGUUCUCAACAGUUUGAAAAUUAAAAACUUUCCUGUCUUCUCAGUCGGUUUGCCCUCUUUGAAAAGAUCAACUAGAGCUCAGUUAUUGCGGUGCUUUAGAAAUCCCUGAUGGUCUCAUUAGCUUAUCAUCAUUGCGGAUGCUAAAUCUAAGUGGAAACAUGGUUGAGAGAUUACCUGCAAGCAUCAUGCAAGUUUCGGGGAUGGAGUAUCUAAACUUCAGAGAUUGCAAGAGUCUUCAAUAGUUCAAUCUUUAUCGGAGCUCCCAUUGCUUCUACAACAUUUUGAUGGCCAUGGGUGCAUCGGACGGGAGACAGUGUCAAGUUCGAGGAUCAAUAUCAGACCAGGUUGGGAUCAAUAUCAUGUGUUCUCUAAUAGCUUAAAUCUGGAUCAGAAUGCAUGGAACGAGAUGAGAUUGGAUGCACAGCUCAGAAUUUUUCUAAUGGCAAUCGCGUCAUCAAAGGUUAAACAAGAAACUGGUCAUAACUGCGGUCAUGAGCGUUGUGAUGCAAAAGCUUCAAUUACAAUUUUAUCUCCAGGAAAUGACAUUCCAAAGUGGUUUUGCUAUCAAACUGAAGGAUCUUCAAUAAAUAUCAAGCUUCCUCCAGAUUGGUUUGAUACAAACUUCUUGGGUUUUACUCUAUCCGUUGUUGCAUUCGACAGAAAUAAUAGUUAUCCUGGUUACUCAGACUUGGGAUUUGGAUGUAAAUCCUAUUUCAAAACCAACAAUGGUGAAACCAUUGAGUUUAAUUGUUGUUUGAAUAAUUGGGAUUGCGGUGUGCAUAGAUCUGGAAGUGACAAUGCGCAUCAUAUUAUUACGUGGUAACUUAAUCCCCUAAAGGGAGAUGGAGCAAAAUGGUCCUCUAGUUUUUACAAUGUCACGGAGGCUUUCUUUGAGUUCUACCCUCUAGGCUGGUUGGAACAACCCACUGUGAAGAAGUGUGGGAUUGGCCUGCUGUCUUCCCCAGACUUUGAUUUCAUUGAUGAAGUUGCUAGGGAUAUCACAAGAAUAGAAGAUGUCAUUGAAGCUGAGAUGCAGUGAGGAGACGUCUAAACCUAGUCAGUGGAAUUGUUAGCUCUUAAGGAAGAUCAUGCCAUCCAAGUCUCUCGCAAAGUGUAGUGAAAAGAGAUGCUCAUAGUCAAAUGCCUUUAUUUAAUAUCUCGGAAAGCUCAUUUCAAAUAUUCAUCCUGGACUGCACAAGGUAAUGUCAUGUAGAUUUUGAGUAUGUGGGAUGGGUUAGCUUAUAACGAUACUGCUGUAGUAAUCUCUUCAUAUCAUUGGUCCUGAUGAGAUUAUGGUCUGCUUAAUGAAUCCGAUAUUGAGAUUACUAUAAUGUUUCCAAUGUUUUCAUUCAAGUCAGUCGGACGCUCAUUGUUGUUCAAUCUGCCUAACGAAUCUCUAAAAAUGAAUUGUAGGAAGGUAAGAAAAGAUUAUCCAGUGAAGCUGCAACAGCUACAAAUUGGAAUAGCAGGAAUUGCUGUCAUCAAAGAGCAAUGAACGGUAGCAAAACUCUAGACUGCAAAAUGGGAUCGAUUUGUUCACUUGCUGCUCUGCUAUUGAUGAAGAUGAAGUACAAAUUACAUGGACAUUGGCUCCAAACAUCAAGAGCUACUGGUCGGUAGCUGUUGGCUUUCAAUGAAGGUACAUGACCUACAGAAUCCAGGAGGCAAGGAAUGGUUGAUUACAAGCUUAAUAAUGUAAGAACACUGUUUGAGCAGAAGAUGUGAACGACAUAUGUUUGAUGUAGAGGAGGUAGAACACUUGGAUGUCGAGUACGCCACUCGAAAUCAAUUAAGUGAUAAGAAAGAACAUGCAACUAUGUCAAUUUCAAAGUUUUGUUUUUCUAAACACGUCGAAGUAAAAAUACUAGCCGUUAUGAUACCAGGAUGUAGUCCCUUCAUUUGUAUACCAAAUUCCUCAAAAUAGUCAUAUUCAUUGCCCGAUAA
Rosa chinensis is the source of this 5686-nucleotide RNA transcript. It is a transcript of the gene named disease resistance protein RPV1, with no coding region annotated. The transcript is spliced from 7 exons. The record is from RefSeq and is a predicted model, not a curated record. NCBI's taxonomy places the organism in Eukaryota, Viridiplantae, Streptophyta, Magnoliopsida, Rosales, Rosaceae.